UACGGAGGGUGCGAGCGUUGUUCGGAAUCACUGGGCGUAAAGGGCGUGUAGGCGGUCCGCUAAGUCUGAUGUGAAAGCCCGGGGCUCACCCCCGGAAGUGCAUUGGAAACUGGCGGACUCGAGUCCCGGAGAGGAGAGUGGAAUUCCUGGUGUAGCGGUGAAAUGCGUAGAUAUCAGGAGGAACACCAAUUGCGAAGGCAGCUCGCUGGGACGUGACUGACGCUGAGACGCGAAAGCGUGGGGAGCAAACAGG
RNAcentral lists this ribosomal RNA (253 nucleotides) under uncultured bacterium. RNAcentral describes it as "partial 16S ribosomal RNA". It matches the Rfam family "Bacterial small subunit ribosomal RNA", at positions 524 to 776 of the family's 1533-position model. The record is from RNAcentral.